UGAAUCUCUGAGGACAAUCUGGUGCUUUAU
Molecule: non-coding RNA, 30 nt
Filed under: Rattus norvegicus (Norway rat)
Lineage: Eukaryota; Metazoa; Chordata; Mammalia; Rodentia; Muridae
Source: RNAcentral